This 248-nucleotide long non-coding RNA is filed under the name Carica papaya (papaya). RNAcentral's name for it is "long non-coding RNA (CPAP_LNC006977)". Lineage: Eukaryota; Viridiplantae; Streptophyta; Magnoliopsida; Brassicales; Caricaceae. The record is from RNAcentral.
UAGCCAACUUAUUCCUAUGUUAAAUAUCACAUAAAGGCAUCAUCCAACAGAUAAGUAUAGCUUUAAACACAAAAUCCUCAUUUAGGUUAUGAAAUCUCAACAAUUUUCUCUUUUUCUUGACCCAAAACAAAACCCACAAAUUAUUUGAGUGUCUAUUUACUCUUCAAUCUAUUGUUCUAUUAAUAGAUUUACCUGGGUCAAUAACUUAGUUUGAAACUAUUCAAAUUGACAAUAUUUGAUCUCUGGAU